This 250-nucleotide ribosomal RNA is filed under the name uncultured bacterium. RNAcentral describes it as "partial 16S ribosomal RNA". It matches the Rfam family "Bacterial small subunit ribosomal RNA", at positions 524 to 773 of the family's 1533-position model. The record is from RNAcentral.
UACGGAGGGUGCGAGCGUUAUUCGGAAUUACUGGGCGUAAAGCGCGUGCAGGCGGUUGAGUGAGUCUGAUGUGAAAGCCCCGGGCUUAACCUGGGAAGUGCAUUGGAUACUGCUCGACUUGAGUACUGGAGAGGAAGGGAGAAUUCCCGGUGUAGAGGUGAAAUUCGUAGAGAUCGGGAGGAACACCAGUGGCGAAGGCGCCCUUCUGGACAGCUACUGACGCUGAGACGCGAGAGCGUGGGGAGCAAAC